AAAAGAUAAAGCUUUGGUGGAUACGGAUUGGCUCGCGUGACAUUAGCUGGAUGGUAGGGUAACGGCCUACCAUGGCUACGAUGUCUAGGGGUCCUGAGAGGAAGAUCCCCCACACUGGUACUGAGACACGGACCAGACUCCUACGGGAGGCAGCAGUGAGGAAUAUUGGUCAAUGGGCGCAAGCCUGAACCAGCCAUGCCGCGUGCAGGAAGAAGGUCCUAUGGAUUGUAAACUUCUUUUGUAUGGGAGCAAUAAGGUCUACGAGUAGGCCGAUGAGAGUACCGUAGGAAUAAGCACCGGCUAACUCCGUGCCAGCAGCCGCGGUAAUACGGAGGGUGCAAGCGUUAUCCGGAUUUAUUGGGUUUAAAGGGUGCGUAGGCGGUCUAUUAAGUCAGCGGUGAAAGUUUUCAGCUUAACUGGAAAAAUGCCGUUGAUACUGAUAGGCUAGAAUAUGGUUGCUGUGGGUGGAAUGUGUGGUGUAGCGGUGAAAUGCUUAGAUAUCACACAGAAUAUCAAUUGCGAAGGCAGCUCACAAAGCCAUUAUUGACGCUGAGGCACGAAAGUGUGGGGAUCAAACAGGAUUAGAUACCCUGGUAGUCCACACCGUAAACGAUGAUAACUCGCUGUCGGCGAUAAACAGUCGGUAGCCAAGCGAAAGCGAUAAGUUAUCCACCUGGGGAGUACGACCGCAAGGUUGAAACUCAAAGGAAUUGACGGGGGCCCGCACAAGCGGUGGAGCAUGUGGUUUAAUUCGACGCAACGCGAAGAACCUUACCAGGGCUUGACAUCCCGUGACAGCCAUGAUUAGCAGCGCAGGUCUUUCGGGACAGAGGAGACAGGUGGUGCAUGGUUGUCGUCAGCUCGUGUCGUGAGAUGUUGGGUUAAGUCCCGCAACGAGCGCAACCCUUGCCUUUAGUUGCCAGCACAUAAAGGUUAAACAGACUGCCGUGGAUAACACGGAGGAAGGUGGGGAUGACGUCAAAUCAUCAUGCCCCUUAUGAUCUGGGCUACACACGUGCUACAAUGGCCGGUACAACGAGAAGCGAAACCGCGAGGUGAAGCAAAUCUUUUAAAGCCGGUCCCAGUUCGGAUUGCAGGCUGAAACUCGCCUGCAUGAAGUUGGAGUUGCUAGUAAUCGCGGAUCAGCAUGCCGUGGUGAAUGCGUUCCCGGGCC
This 1174-nucleotide ribosomal RNA is filed under the name uncultured bacterium. RNAcentral's name for it is "bacterial SSU rRNA". It matches the Rfam family "Bacterial small subunit ribosomal RNA", at positions 196 to 1380 of the family's 1533-position model. The record is from RNAcentral.